Molecule: ribosomal RNA, 598 nt
Filed under: uncultured bacterium
Lineage: Bacteria
Description: bacterial SSU rRNA
Rfam family: Bacterial small subunit ribosomal RNA
Source: RNAcentral
AGCUAAUACCGCAUACGCCCUGAGGGGGAAAGCGGGGGACCGUAAGGCCUCGCGUUAUUGGAGCGGCCGAUAUCUGAUUAGCUAGUUGGUGGGGUAAGAGCCCACCAAGGCGACGAUCAGUAGCUGGUCUGAGAGGAUGAUCAGCCACACUGGAACUGAGACACGGUCCAGACUCCUACGGGAGGCAGCAGUGGGGAAUUUUGGACAAUGGGAACAACCCUGAUCCAGCCAUUCCGCGUGAGUGAAGAAGGCCUUCGGGUUGUAAAGCUCUUUCGCAAGGGAAGAAACGAUACGAGCGAAUAACUCGUGUUAAUGACGGUACCUUGAUAAGAAGCACCGGCUAACUACGUGCCAGCAGCCGCGGUAAUACGUAGGGUGCGAGCGUUAAUCGGAAUUACUGGGCGUAAAGCGUGCGCAGGCGGUUCUGCAAGUCAGAUGUGAAAUCCCCGGGCUCAACCUGGGAACUGCGUUUGAAACUACAGAGCUAGAGUACGGGAGAGGGAGGUAGAAUUCCACGUGUAGCAGUGAAAUGCGUAGAGAUGUGGAGGAAUACCAAUGGCGAAGGCAGCCUCCUGGCCUGAUACUGACGCUCAUGCAC